AAGGAAUGAGCUUAUAGUCAAGAGCACUGUUGUUAGAAUCUUACAUUCUUUAUUUGAAUUGUAGGUCAAGAUGUGAAUUUUUGGAAAGUAUGAUGGUUUAUAAGAGAAUACGAUACCUAGUUUGAACUUUUAGAAAGCAGGUCAAGAUGUCCCCAGCUAUAGUUGUACUUUUGUUGUCUGGGUUAUCUUCUGUCCAAGAUUUGCCAAAUCUAAGAGUCAAAAUGUAAUGCAUUCUGGUUUAUAA
This 244-nucleotide unclassified non-coding RNA is filed under the name Hevea brasiliensis (rubber tree). The record is from RNAcentral. Lineage: Eukaryota; Viridiplantae; Streptophyta; Magnoliopsida; Malpighiales; Euphorbiaceae.